Long non-coding RNA from Pungitius pungitius (ninespine stickleback), 3542 nucleotides. RefSeq lists it as uncharacterized. The record is from RefSeq and is a predicted model, not a curated record. NCBI's taxonomy places the organism in Eukaryota, Metazoa, Chordata, Actinopteri, Perciformes, Gasterosteidae. The transcript is spliced from 3 exons.
AUUAUACCUGCUGUUAGCAUUUAGCUCAAAGCGCCACUUUGCCCUGCUAGCACCAAGACUCGAGCCGUCUGCAAGAACUGAUUUGACAUUAAAUAAGUGCAUUUUUGUGCGUCGUCAUUUUUUUCCAAGUAUCUAAUUGUAUUUUUCUUCUUUUUGUGCGUGUUUUUGUGUGGUGAAUAUUUUGAAUUUUGUGCUGCUGUUGUCUUGUUUAAUGCAAGACAGAGUCAAAUUCUAUUUUCUUCCAGUGACGUUUGUGAGCCUUUAACUGAAGAGGCGACAAGAAGUUCUUUAAGCUCGAAGCGGAACUUUUUCCGAUCACUUUGUUUUAAUGGCUGCAGCGUACAACAACGGCCUGACGUGCAGCUGUCAGAUACCUGCUAAAUACUGGCCGAUCACAGCGCUGUCUUAUAAUCAGUCACCCAAACUCCUGCCCCGGGGCUAAAAGUCAAAGGAUCGCCGAGACCUGAUGUAACACUUGUGAUUCUCCCCUUUGAAACUUCAGUUUGUGAACAAAGUCCUGUCUAUCUUCUGAAUAGGAAUCUCCGACCACUGACCAAACUCCAUUUGCAACCACAGCCUAUUUGUACCUUCUCCUCAAUGACUACAUUUCAUUUUACCCAGGUCCGAUCUCAAAGGCAGGCGGCGCGGAAGGCGACGUGGUAAAGAGAACUAAAUGACAGAAACCAGCAGCUGGGAGGAAAAGACAAUCGCGGGGCGUCCUGGAAGAGUAAUUGUGAUGUGGAAUCUACGCCGUCCGGGGACUUAUUUUGUUUCUUUUCUAAGGGAGCACCAGCCCAGAGGGAAUUGUGAGUGUUUGUAAAGCACCAUCCAGGAGCGUGAUGAUGUUGAUAAGAGUAAAACAGAAGGAGACAAUGUGCCUGCUGCAGCAUAUUCGAGGCUGCUGCUGCGCUCUCCUGCAGUAGAUGAGGGGAGAUAGCCGUGUGAAAAAGACCGACGCGAAUGGCGAUGACAUUUCCAGCCUCGAUCUGUGGCGAAUCCAGCGGAGCGCCAGGGAGCUCGGAUCCACCAAAGAGGAGGAAAAAGCCCCCAGCUGCCACAUUCACACGUUCUUUCCAACGUUGAUUCAAACAAAGGGAGGUGUAAAAUGUGGAGGUUUGGCGCAGGUUGCUGGAGUGUGAGAAGGCUGUUGUUGGUGCAAGGUAAGGCCGCUGUUGCCGCUGUUAUCUUAUUGAUUUUCCUAAUCUGGGCAAAUGUGGGUGGGGAGGUUAAACAGUAACCAGGCUCGUAUGGACACCAAUCUAUAUAGCAGCUGUAACUGAGGCAACAUGAUGAUAGAAACUCAAAUACACAUUAAGUUAUUACACGCUUUUCCGCUCUCUCCCAUCACCAAACAGAAAUGUCUCCAUACAGUUUGGGAAAUGAGUAUGAUCACUUAAAAUUAAACUGAGUGUAUGAAUAAAGGAAAGGGAAAGGCUGAAGGGUGGAGAGGCAAAAAGAAAAGAUGGCGGAGUGGAGAAGGUACAGAAGGUGGCAGCAUACAAACGGGGUAUGAGUGACGUCACCCGUUCUGUUUUUGACUGAGGGGGGAAUAUUACUGCUGAGCGGUAGGAUGUAUAAUUAGUCCUGAGUCACCUGUGGAUGAAAGACAUGAGGUCUAAUUUAUUUUAAAAUGUGAUUUCCUCAGUCUCACAGGUCAAAGGAAAAUUCACUUCACAAAUGCAAGAUUUGCACCUUCAUCACUCAUUAAUUAGCGCGUGUUAAUGCACAAUUUGACUGAUUUCUAUAACGACAUGUUCUGGUCUUUUUUGACAGUAUGUGACAAGAUGAGCAGCCACUUUCAGCCACUUUCCAUUUUCUGAAGAGCUCUGGGCAUAAAUAGUUUCUACAUAAAAUAUUUGCUCUUAGUGGCUGUCCGUGUGUGUGUGUUUGUGUGUGUCUGUCUGUGUGUGUGUGUAUGAAUUGGUUGGUAGGCACAGCUGAUCUGCUCAUAUUUAACACCAUAAAAGCUGCAUUAGUCUCCUGUUUUAUGGCACAAAGAUUUAAUGAGGUGAAAUGCAGGACUGAGAAACACAAAAAAGUGAACAGGCCAAAGUAGCAAACAGACAUUUGUUUAAAAUAUAUGGAGGGGUAUACAGGGUCAUUAGUUAUUUAAAUAAAUACAUUUCAGUCAGGCAAACACAUUGACUGAUGGAAUUGAUGGACACUUUGUUUAAAAAAAAUUGAACCAAAAACACAUCCAAAUGUGUUUCUGUGAGCUGUACAAGAAAAGUGCAUCAUUUUUAGCUUUCUGUGUCAAAAUUGAUUUAAAAUAAAAAUCUCUCCAUAUAAUAUUAGGAAAAAAUGAACCGAGCGACAAUUUUGUUUAAGAUUUAAGAGUUUAAACAUACUGUAUAGCUGCAUCGCGUUCUUAUGAUGACUUUUGUGUUUAAAGCUGUCGUGUUGCGUUGGUAUCUGGUCAGUCGUUGGGGUUUUCUCGUUGGGGAGCACAACUCCCACACAGUUCCCCCCCCCCUGAAACACAAGUUAACAUAUUAUUAGUCAUAAAGGCAUUGAUUUGCUUCUAUGUAUUUUUUACUUUGGGACCAAUAUAAUUUAAGUGAUAAGACUGGCACCAUUUGUGUAUUUUGCUUGUAAGUACACAACCCUAAUGUGGAUUCAUUCAUUUCCUCCAACAGCUUGUUAUUGUUUGUUUUGGCAAAUAUUACUCAAACGUGAGUAAAUCUGUUGUAACUAUUUUCCACAUUUCCCCCAUUAUCCUGAAAUAUCUCCGUUUAUUGCUUUAGUGGGUAUUUGAUACAUGCAGGAUAUAUAUAUAUCAUGCUCAUGAUUUUUUAAUAGGUUUUGGAUAUAAAUAGAGAUCCAUGGUACAGGGCAAAUAUAUGUCAGACUUUAGUUUAGACAUACCAUUAUUCAGUUGAAUUUAUAAUCAAUAAUGAUAUUCAUGUGUUUGAUGAGAUUUGUUGACAAAGAAAUCUGUAUCAUCUGACUUGUAUGUUGAGAAAAAGAAAAAAUAUAUAAAGAAAGGCAUGAAUCAUUGACUGUUUUCAAGUGGUCUGUUAAGGUCCCCAAAUAUUUGCAACAUUAAAAUGUUUAUAUCUGUUUACGUUCUGUCUGGGACCGUGGUUUCAUUGCACUGUUGUAGUCUCUUGUGUUGAGGACAGAUUGUUCCAUAAAACUUGACACCGUGACCCCCCUGACUUACAACCACAUGCCACACCACAAAACUCUGUCUGAGCAAACACGACCCAGGAAGGACUGACUGACUGAAACUAAAUCUCAUACUAUCUCUGAAAUAUUAAAAAUGUUCAAAAUAUCCUGAAAGAUGCACUUUAAUGUUUGUCAAGGGUCCAUUUUUCAUUAACCCUAAUGGGGCAGCUAAUACAUAAAAUUCUUGUAAGAAUUAUUUUUAACUUAGUGCUGACUGAUAACUGACUUUGACACUCAUAACCUUUUGACAAUUUUAGUUGCUGUGGAAGAAAAUAAAUCACCACCAAAAUAACAACAAACAUGACACGGCCUAUAGGACACAAUGUUUGUCUGCUGGAUGAUCUGAACAUAGAACAUUUCUUGAACAUGAGAUA